RNAcentral lists this ribosomal RNA (307 nucleotides) under uncultured bacterium. Its description in RNAcentral is "partial 16S ribosomal RNA". It matches the Rfam family "Bacterial small subunit ribosomal RNA", at positions 506 to 809 of the family's 1533-position model. The record is from RNAcentral.
AGACAGCAGCAGCCGCGGGAAUACAGAGGGUGCGAGCGUUAAUCGGAUUUACUGGGCGUAAAGCGUGCGUAGGCGGCUUUUUAAGUCGGAUGUGAAAUCCCUGAGCUUAACUUAGGAAUUGCAUUCGAUACUGGGAAGCUAGAGUAUGGGAGAGGAUGGUAGAAUUCCAGGUGUAGCGGUGAAAUGCGUAGAGAUCUGGAGGAAUACCGAUGGCGAAGGCAGCCAUCUGGCCUAAUACUGACGCUGAGGUACGAAAGCAUGGGGAGCAAACAGGAUUAGAUACCCCCGUAGUCCCUGUCUCUUAUAA